UAGGGAAUCUUCCACAAUGGACGCAAGUCUGAUGGAGCAACGCCGCGUGAGUGAAGAAGGUCUUCGGAUCGUAAAGCUCUGUUGUUGGUGAAGAAGGAUAGAGGCAGUAACUGGUCUUUAUUUGACGGUAAUCAACCAGAAAGUCACGGCUAACUACGUGCCAGCAGCCGCGGUAAUACGUAGGUGGCAAGCGUUGUCCGGAUUUAUUGGGCGUAAAGCGAGCGCAGGCGGAAUGAUAAGUCUGAUGUGAAAGCCCACGGCUCAACCGUGGAACUGCAUCGGAAACUGUCAUUCUUGAGUGCAGAAGAGGAGAGUGGAACUCCAUGUGUAGCGGUGGAAUGCGUAGAUAUAUGGAAGAACACCAGUGGCGAAGGCGGCUCUCUGGUCUGCAACUGACGCUGAGGCUCGAAAGCAUGGGUAGCGAACAGGAUUAGAUACCCUGGUGAG
This 447-nucleotide ribosomal RNA is filed under the name uncultured bacterium. Its description in RNAcentral is "partial 16S ribosomal RNA". It matches the Rfam family "Bacterial small subunit ribosomal RNA", at positions 355 to 793 of the family's 1533-position model. The record is from RNAcentral.